Molecule: ribosomal RNA, 217 nt
Filed under: uncultured bacterium
Lineage: Bacteria
Description: partial 16S ribosomal RNA
Rfam family: Bacterial small subunit ribosomal RNA
Source: RNAcentral
UACGUAGGGACCGAGCGUUGUCCGGAAUCAUUGGGCGUAAAGAGCGUGUAGGCGGCUAUCUAAGUCCUGCGUGAAAUCCUGCGGCUCAACCGCAGACGGUCGUGGGAAACUGGAUGGCUAGAGUGCGGGAGAGGAGAGUGGAAUUCCCGGUGUAGCGGUGAAAUGCGCAGAUAUCGGGAAGAACACCCGUGGCGAAGGCGGCUCUCUGGAACACGAC